AAGUACUUUUUAAAAAAAAAAGAAUAUGCUUUUCUGCUGGUUUUGAAGGAAGAAGGGGCAAUGAACCAAGGAAUGCAGGUGGCCUCUAGAUGCUGGAAAAGGCAAGGAAAUGAAUUGUCCCCUUAGGCUCCCAGAGGAAACACAGCCCCACCAACACCUUGAUUUUAGCCCAGUGAGAUCCAUUUCUGACCUCCAGAACUGGAACAUAAAUUUUUGUUGUUUUAAAUAACUGAGUUUAUGGUAAUUUGUUACAGCUGCAAUAGAAAACAAAUAUACAUUGUUGAUUCCUUAUUAUUAACGCAUGGCAAAUAAUUAUUUCCCUUUCAAUUAAAAAUAUAUUUUUAAAUAGCCCAAAAUAUGUCAGUCAUAGAGAUAACGAAAUAGUGAUAAUUAGUGCUAUGGUUAGUUAAAUCAGUUUGUCUGAAUGAUUAAUUUCACAAAAUAAUUUGAAUUCAAAGGGAUUCACUCUUUUUUUAAUCUCCAAUGAUUUACCAAAAAGAGUGUCCCAAAUAUGAUUAUCAUACUCUGGUGAAUGAAAAUAAUCUGGUAAAAUGAACCAUCAAUCACACUGUUAAAUAAUACAACAAGAAAAUGAAAUUCUAGAGAACACUGAAAAAUAUCAUGUUCUGAGUUCUUAUAUAAGAUUCAGUCACUGUAAACAGCUUGACAAAAAGGGUAAAAAUCUAUGAAUGAUGCUUCCUGUUGAUAAUACAAUUUUCACUGAAUAAAGAACUAAUUUUAGAAACUCUACAAACAUAUUCAUACCAAAUAAACUUGCAAAUGGCUAGAACAUUAGUGAACAUAUGUGAAAGAAUGCAAUCUUAGUAAAUGUGUUUUUAGUGUAAAAUGCCAAUUCUACAUUUUAGAUAGUGGCCUUCCUAAGAUGAAAUGUCCAUAUACCAGCUGAGACCCAGUUUAUCCCUGGAGGUACAGGAAGAAAUUUAGAACUUUAAUUUUUAAAAAUCGUAUCCUUUUAAACUUUCGAUUUUCCUCUGUGUAUGUUUUAUAAUGUACUUAACAGAUCAGUACAAUAGUAUACCCAUCAUUUAUAGAUAAUCAAAAUUUGGAUCUUAAAUUUUUUCUGAUGGAGAGUGCAUGAUUGAAAAAGUCCAGAAUGUCACUAACAAGAAUUACCAAGCCACUGCCAUUGUCAUAGCCUUGUGCUUGAUUUUGGUCUAAAAAUGCACAUAUAGGUAGUUUAAACAAAAAAUCUCCAGCAAUUACUAAAUCAAGUUUGCCAUCAACCUUUUAAACAGGUUAACCACACACAAAAAGUGUGUCAAAUGUUUCAAAGUAGCAUUUAUUUUUAAAAAAUCAUGUUAUGAGGUAGACUUAUAUCACAUAUUCAAUGCAUUUAUAAUAUAAAGGUUUUUUUAAAUUAAAACCUUAUAUGUUUAUGUAGGUGUGUAUAUAGAUAAAAUAAACUCAUCUACAACUCUACAUUCAUCCAUUUGAAAGACUCAAAACAAUUAAAAAGGUAAAAAGCCAAUUAUAGUUUUAGAAAGCUUUUGUAAUUCUGAAAUGAAGAACAUUUGAUCUGUCCAAAAAUUUGUGGGAAGGAGGUGGUUUUAAUUUCAGAAGUUAUUUUACUAAAUUAUACAUUUUAUAGCUAAUUCUCAAUGAAUGUGAAUAUCUUUAUUAGAAGGUAAGUGAAAGAUACUGUAACUCUUUUAUUACUUUGUACCCAUCAUGUCAAAAUGAUUACAUCUAAGUAGGACCAGCUACAUAAUUUGCAAGCCCAGUACAAAAUAAAAAUGCAGUGCCCUUGUUCAAAAAGUUGAGAAUUUCAAGAUGGCUAUAGCAAAGCAUUAAAGUAAGCAUGAGGCCUUUCAACUUUUUUUUUAUUUUUUUUAUUUUUUUGAGGCAAUCUCACUCUGUUGCCCAGGCUGGAGUGCAGUGGUGUGCUCUCAGCUUACUGCAGUCUCAACUUCUUGGGCUCAGGUGAUCCUCCCACCUCAGUUUCCCGAGUAGCUGGGACUAUAGGUGUAUGCCGCCAUGCCUGGCUAAUUGUGUUUUCAUUUUUUGUAGAAAUGGGGUCUCAUUAUGUUCCCCAGGCUGGUCUCAAACUCCCGGGCUCAAGCGAUCCUCCUGCCUCGGCUUCCCAAAGUGCUGGGAUUACAGGUGUGAGCUACUGCACCCAGCCUACAUGGAAUCUUUCUAAGUAUGGGACACUAUGUAACUGCACAUGUACAACCUCUUUAAGCCAGCCCUGAAUCUAAAUCUCUUUCAACUACAGCUAUGGAAUACCAAGACGAUAGUUAUCUUUGUCCCUUGAGUUCCCAGUACUAAACUAGGCAUAUAAUAGGGAUUCAAAUGUUCGUUGAAUGAAAAACUGAGUCUUAACUUGCAGUUUUCCAAGUCAAUGAGAAAUGCCAUAUAUGGUGAAGGUUCAUUUGAU
This 2398-nucleotide long non-coding RNA is filed under the name Homo sapiens (human). Its description in RNAcentral is "HSALNT0148757". The record is from RNAcentral. Lineage: Eukaryota; Metazoa; Chordata; Mammalia; Primates; Hominidae.